ACGCUCGACACCUACGGGAGGAGCAGUGGGGAAUAUUGCACAAUGGGGGAAACCCUGAUGCAGCGACGCCGCGUGGAGGAAGAAGGUCUUCGGAUUGUAAACUCCUGUUGUUGGGGAAAAAGAGGAUGGUACCCAACAAGGAAGUGACGGCUAACUACGUGCCAGCACGCCGGACGGUAAUCUGGAGGCGGGCGUGGACGAAGGC
This 205-nucleotide ribosomal RNA is filed under the name uncultured bacterium. RNAcentral describes it as "partial 16S ribosomal RNA". It matches the Rfam family "Bacterial small subunit ribosomal RNA", at positions 328 to 545 of the family's 1533-position model. The record is from RNAcentral.